This 424-nucleotide ribosomal RNA is filed under the name uncultured prokaryote. RNAcentral's name for it is "bacterial SSU rRNA". It matches the Rfam family "Bacterial small subunit ribosomal RNA", at positions 355 to 796 of the family's 1533-position model. The record is from RNAcentral.
UGGGGAAUCUUGGACAAUGGGCGAAAGCCUGAUCCAGCCAUGCCGCGUGAGUGAAGAAGGCCCUAGGGUUGUAAAGCUCUUUCAGCGGGGAAGAUAAUGACGGUACCCGCAGAAGAAGCCCCGGCUAACUUCGUGCCAGCAGCCGCGGUAAGACGGAGGAUGCAAGCGUUAUCCGGAAUUAUUGGGCGUAAAGCGUCCGUAGGCGGUUUAUCAAGUCAGUUGUUAAAGACUGCAGCUCAACUGUGGGCGAGCAACUGAAACUGAUGAACUAGAGUGCGGUAGGGGUAGAGGGAAUUCCCAGUGUAGCGGUGAAAUGCGUAGAUAUUGGGAAGAACACCAGUGGCGAAGGCGCUCUACUGGGCCGCAACUGACGCUGAGGGACGAAAGCUAGGGGAGCGAAAGGGAUUAGAUACCCCCGUAGUCC